GCCUAGCCUUAACAAACAAUCAAACUACCAAUUGUUCGCCAAACAACUACGAGCCAUACUUAAAACUUAAAAGACUUGACGGUACUUCACCACACCCUAGAGGAGCCUGUCUAAUAACCGACAACCCACGAUUAACCCAACCCCUCCUUGCCCAACAGCCUAUAUACCGCCGUCGCCAGCCUACCUUGUAAAAGAAAUAAAGUAGACUAAACAGUAUUAUACUAAAACGACAGGUCGAGGUGUAACUUAUGGAGGGGACCAAGAUGGGCUACAUUCUCCAACUGAGCAUACGGACAACACUAUGAAACUAGUCUUUAAAGGCGGAUUUAGCAGUAAGAUAGGAAUAAAAUACCUAACUGAACAUAACGCAAUGAAGUGCGCACACACCGCCCGUCAUCCCUGCCACUAC
This 409-nucleotide ribosomal RNA is filed under the name Porthidium lansbergii. RNAcentral's name for it is "partial 12S ribosomal RNA". Lineage: Eukaryota; Metazoa; Chordata; Lepidosauria; Squamata; Viperidae. The record is from RNAcentral.